CCGGGACCCGUCAGUCAGAGCCGCUCGGUGGGCGGGCUUUGCGCGGGGGCGGGGCCUGAGCGAGGGGCGGGGCUUGUCCACCUCCCCACCCGCACCACCUCCCCUCCACUGAGAGCUUCCACCAGCCGCUCGGCUGUCAGGCGCGGUGGCCAAGUGGUAAGGCGUCGGUCUCGUAAACCGAAGAUCGCGGGUUCGAACCCCGUCCGUGCCUGCGUUUGGGAGAGAUAUUUUCUUGUUAGCUGUUACGUGUUUUCAGCUCCCUUUUUUUUUGUUUGUUUUUGUUUUUGUUUUUGUUCAGGAGUUCAGCCCCUCCUCUACCGGUUCGUGGCCAGAGCACUGUAACUCUUUCCAGAGGCCCCGCACAGCUGCUGAACUCCCUGCAUACUCUACCCUUCAACUCCGGUCUGGAUCCCGCGACGAAGGCAAGCCUUCUCUGUGAACUUUCCUUCCCUACAACGUGCGUGCGUGUCGCCGCUUUCUCCUGCUCAGCCAACUGCCCUCCCCUCCCCCAGGCGCCCACACCUUUCUCAGCCUUGACGUUUUAUAUCAGGCCCCACAUAGUUGUGACACUUCCAAGUCUUUUGUAAGGUAAACAGCCAGAUAUCAUGUGACAGGACGUCCAGUGCUUCAGAUUCCUGAUCCCAUUUUUUUUUUGUUGUUUUAGGAUAUGGUCUCCUGUGUGUGUCCUGCCGGGAUUACUGAGGUUGGUUUAGCACCAACUAGCUUCUCUCUUCAAAACUAUACUAAAGGCUGGGUCCGGGCAAGCUGGGAGAAGUCACAGAGGGGAAUACCUCUCACCUUGCCAAUGUGGAAACUGAAGCCCACGGGGAGGGAAUCACCUGUGGAUGUCUUCGUGGGCGGUGAGGAAGUGAAGAAGGUUCCAUCUGUAGACAAACCUAGUGAUCCGAGUGACGUUUCCUGCAGUAAACGGUCCCUCCCUGGUGUUCCUCCCUCAUAAAAUUAUCUGGGCUAAGAGAAGACAUCAAGGUAAACUGCUAUAUAUGAGGGGUGUGUGAACCCCAUGCUGCCCAUGGCAACAGGUUCUUUGUAACUCUUUGUUCUCUCUGAAC
Molecule: long non-coding RNA, 1070 nt
Organism: Mus spicilegus (steppe mouse)
Lineage: Eukaryota; Metazoa; Chordata; Mammalia; Rodentia; Muridae
Source: Ensembl